UUAUAUGUAACUUAAGUCAAAGUGUAAGAUUCUUACUCUUAUUAUGUAAAAUAAAAUACCAUAUAAA
This 67-nucleotide transfer RNA is filed under the name Polylabris halichoeres. RNAcentral describes it as "tRNA-Lys". It matches the Rfam family "tRNA". Rfam says of the family: Transfer RNA (tRNA) molecules are approximately 80 nucleotides in length. Their secondary structure includes four short double-helical elements and three loops (D, anti-codon, and T loops). Further hydrogen bonds mediate the characteristic L-shaped molecular structure. tRNAs have two regions of fundamental functional importance: the anti-codon, which is responsible for specific mRNA codon recognition, and the 3' end, to which the tRNAs corresponding amino acid is attached (by aminoacyl-tRNA synthetases). tRNAs cope with the degeneracy of the genetic code in two manners: having more than one tRNA (with a specific anti-codon) for a particular amino acid; and 'wobble' base-pairing, i.e. permitting non-standard base-pairing at the 3rd anti-codon position. Lineage: Eukaryota; Metazoa; Platyhelminthes; Monogenea; Mazocraeidea; Microcotylidae. The record is from RNAcentral.